This 448-nucleotide ribosomal RNA is filed under the name uncultured marine bacterium. RNAcentral describes it as "bacterial SSU rRNA". It matches the Rfam family "Bacterial small subunit ribosomal RNA", at positions 359 to 804 of the family's 1533-position model. The record is from RNAcentral.
GGUAUUGUACAAUGGUGGGAACAGUGAUCCAGCCAUGCGGGGGUGCAGGUAGAAGGCCUUACGGGUUGUAAACUGCUUUUAUACGGGAAGAAUAAUCAUGUCGUGUCGUGGGAUGACGGUACCGUAAGAAUAAGGACCGGCUAACUCCGUGCCAGCAGCCGCGGUAAUACGGAGGGUCCGAGCGUUAUCCGGAAUUAUUGGGUUUAAAGGGUCCGCAGGCGGGCUUAUAAGUCAGGGGUGAAAUGGUGCGGCUCAACCGUAGCACUGCCCUUGAUACUGUUAGUCUUGAGUUAUGGUGGAGUGGCCGGAAUAUGUAGUGUAGCGGUGAAAUGCAUAGAUAUUACAUAGAACACCGAUCGCGAAGGCAGGUCACUAACCAUAUACUGACGCUGAUGGACGAAAGCGUGGGGAGCGAACAGGAUUAGAUACCCUGGUAGUCCAUGCCGUA